CCUAUUGAAGUCUGACGGAGCACGCCGCGUGAGUGAUGAAGGCUUUCGGGUCGUAAAACUCUGUUGUUAGGGAAGAACAAGUGCUAGUUGAAUAAGCUGGCACCUUGACGGUACCUAACCAGAAAGCCACGGCUAACUACGUGCCAGCAGCCGCGGUAAUACGUAGGUGGCAAGCGUUAUCCGGAAUUAUUGGGCGUAAAGCGCGCGCAGGUGGUUUCUUAAGUCUGAUGUGAAAGCCCACGGCUCAACCGUGGAGGGUCAUUGGAAACUGGGAGACUUGAGUGCAGAAGAGGAAAGUGGAAUUCCAUGUGUAGCGGUGAAAUGCGUAGAGAUAUGGAGGAACACCAGUGGCGAAGGCGACUUUCUGGUCUGUAACUGACACUGAGGCGCGAAAGCGUGGGGAGCAAACAGGAUUAGAUACCCUGGUAGUCCACGCCGUAAACGAUGAGUGCUAAGUGUUAGAGGGUUUCCGCCCUUUAGUGCUGAAGUUAACGCAUUAAGCACUCCGCCUGGGG
This 515-nucleotide ribosomal RNA is filed under the name Bacillus cereus. RNAcentral describes it as "bacterial SSU rRNA". It matches the Rfam family "Bacterial small subunit ribosomal RNA", at positions 372 to 878 of the family's 1533-position model. The record is from RNAcentral. Lineage: Bacteria; Bacillati; Bacillota; Bacilli; Caryophanales; Bacillaceae.